GUCCAAUAAAAGAUGUAGACUAAAAUUGGAACAAUAGAAGAUUAGCAUGGCCCCUGAACAAGGAUGACACACACACUUGUGAAGUGUUUUCACCAUGU
This 98-nucleotide small nuclear RNA is filed under the name Chelonia mydas (Green sea turtle). Lineage: Eukaryota; Metazoa; Chordata; Testudines; Cheloniidae. The record is from RNAcentral.